AGUGAACGCUGGCGGUAGGCCUAACACAUGCAAGUCGAACGGCAGCACAGUAAGAGCUUGCUCUUACGGGUGGCGAGUGGCGGACGGGUGAGGAAUACAUCGGAAUCUACUCUUUCGUGGGGGAUAACGUAGCGAAACUUACGCUAAUACCGCAUACGACCUACGGGUGAAAGCAGGGGAUCUUCGGACCUUGCGCGAUUGAAUGAGCCGAUGUCGGAUUAGCUAGUUGGCGGGGUAAAGGCCCACCAGGGCGACGAUCCGUAGCUGGUCUGAGAGGAUGAUCGGCCACACUGGAGCUGAGACGCGGUCCAGACGCCUAAGAGAGGCAGCAGUGGGGAAUAUUGGACAAUGGGCGCAAACCUGAUCCAACCAUACCGCGUGGGUGAAGGAGGCCUUCGGUUUGGAAAGCCCUUUUGUUGGGAGAAAAAAGCAGCAGGUUAAUACCCCGCUGUUCUGACGGUACCCGAAGAAUAAGCACCGGCUAACUUCGUG
This 492-nucleotide ribosomal RNA is filed under the name uncultured bacterium. Its description in RNAcentral is "partial 16S ribosomal RNA". It matches the Rfam family "Bacterial small subunit ribosomal RNA", at positions 29 to 507 of the family's 1533-position model. The record is from RNAcentral.